This 219-nucleotide ribosomal RNA is filed under the name uncultured bacterium. RNAcentral describes it as "partial 16S ribosomal RNA". It matches the Rfam family "Bacterial small subunit ribosomal RNA", at positions 524 to 740 of the family's 1533-position model. The record is from RNAcentral.
UACAUGGGGUGCAAACGUUGCUCGGAAUUACUGGGCGUAAAGCGCGCGUAGGCGGCUGAGUAAGUCGAUUGUGAAAUCCCCGGGCUCAACCUGGGAAUUGCAGUCGAGACUGCUCGGCUAGAGUGUGGGAGAGGGUGGUGGAAUUCCCGGUGUAGCGGUGAAAUGCGGUAGACUAUCGGGAGGAACAUCAGUGGCGAAGGCGACCACCUGGCCCAACAC